CAUCUCUUGCAGGAAGAUGCUGCUGCCUGGUAUUGCAGCAGUCAAUGGGCUGCCUAGUCAACCUCAGCCCCUGAUGAGUGCAGACCCAGUAGCCAGGCACAACUGUCAUUGCAUGACCAGCUCUCCUGGAGCUAGCUGCUGCCUGCACACAAAAUUUCCUCUUCCCAGCAGGUGGCGGCAGCAACAACACAGGAAACAGACGCCCUGGCUCAGGUUCCUGUUCUCCCAAAAGAGCUGCCCCUGGCCAUGGCUUCUGGGAAUUCAGCGCCUCCUGCGCUGGGCACCUAGGCCCAGGGAGACCUCCCUGGAUUGCCCCUUAGUGGGUCCCUCCGCUCCAGUCCAAGCAGCUCCUAUGGAGGCCCCGCCCCACGACUUCUCUGACACCAGCUCCUGCCCACUGCUAGUCCCCUCAGGUCCCUGGCUCUCCGGGUUCUUUGCUGAGAGCGCGCCAGAGCCCAGGUCUCCCUCAGGACCCUGGGAGAAGGCCAGGAGGCCCAGAGGGCAGCCCAAGCCGCUUGGAACUCGCUCCUUGAAACAAGAUCCUCCCCCACAGCGAGGCCUCCUGGGAAGGAGGCUUGAGUGGCGCAGGGCGUCUUGAAACUGGUUCCGCACGGUGGCGGUAGAGCUCCAGCUAUGGCCAGCAGCCCUGGGCCUGAGCGCGCCUCUCCCGCCCUGGCUGUCUGAAAAAACGCCACCCAGACAAAGGCACCAGGCAACAUGGCCGCCCUGUCCUUUGCCCAGUUCUAGGAAGCAGCUCCCGAUGCUGCUUUUGCUUUUUCAGUAUUUGUGGCGUUUGGUUCACGAUGUUUGCCUCUGUCGUGAUUCUGCCCGAGACAGGCUUUGCCGUGUUGCCCAGGACCAGCUGGAAAUCGUGGUGCCAGUGCAGCAGCUUCCAGCUCCUCUCUCCUGUUGUUUUCCAUCUGAACUCUGACCAAGGCCUGAGUGCCAUCCUCCCCUGGGCCUCCCCUCUCUCUGGUGGAACGUUCAGGGAGGCCCUGCUCAUUCAGUCUGUUCUGAGUUGAACUGCACCCAGUCUUCCUCCCUCUGUAGUUUGUGAGUGCUCAGACCAGGUGAGAGAAAUGACACGGUUCGGUUUGUUUUUUACUCUUUUUAGGACACAAGAAGUUGGGAAUCCAACGUGUCAAUAUGUAUGUCUUCCAGAGAGCCAAUGUGCACAUGGUGAUGUGUCUUGUCUAGGUUCUGUUGCCAUAACAAAAAUACCUGAAGCUGAGUAUUUUGUAAGAAAUGGACAUUUCCUGUCCUCAUGGUUGUGGAGAUGGGAAAUCUAAGAAUAGGACCUCAGUGUCUGCUGAGCCGUUGGUGGGGGUCUUCUUGCUUAAUCAUAAUGUGGAAGAGGCCAGCACAGAGAGACAGAGGAAGCUUCUUGGAGACACCUGGCUUUUAUAGCAGAGUCACUCCCCACAAAACCUAUGAAUCCAUGAGUGGACUGAUCAGUGCCUGUGCAUGAGGGCAGAGUUCUCAUGAGCCAGUGACCUCCCAGAAAUACUUCAGUUCCCGUUCACACAUAAUUUUGGGAUUAACUUUCCGACAAUGGGUUUCCAGGGCACAACCAUUGAAACCAUACUAUGAAGUGACUUUUAAAGUUGAAUGAAAAUCGCUAGCAUCAUCUACUUUUCUAAAGUGGCCUUAAAAAACGAGUCUGUCACAAGGAGAGAGAGAGGAAGCUUCUUCGAGACACCUGACUGGUGUCCUCCAGCCUGGAUGUUGGUUUAUUUUCAAGUUUCCCCUUUAGAUUUCAGGCAGAGAAUGUUGAGGUAGGGGACUUGGUGUUGUGGUAUUCAUGUAUUUUAUGUCCUCUAGGCUGUGGUGAAUGCAGACAUGGGAAGAAGUGGUCACGUGGAAAGUGAGUUCAAAAAGAGAGAGAGAACAUGAAAAUGGGGUGAGUUGGUUUUUUUUUUUUUUUAAUGUGG
This 1931-nucleotide long non-coding RNA is filed under the name Marmota monax (woodchuck). The record is from RNAcentral. Lineage: Eukaryota; Metazoa; Chordata; Mammalia; Rodentia; Sciuridae.